RNAcentral lists this ribosomal RNA (164 nucleotides) under uncultured bacterium. Its description in RNAcentral is "partial 16S ribosomal RNA". It matches the Rfam family "Bacterial small subunit ribosomal RNA", at positions 355 to 511 of the family's 1533-position model. The record is from RNAcentral.
UAGGGAAUCUUCCACAAUGGGCGAAAGCCUGAUGGAGCAACGCCGCGUGUGUGAUGAAGGCUUUCGGGUCGUAAAGCACUGUUGUAUGGGAAGAACAGCUAGAAUAGGAAAUGAUUUUAGUUUGACGGUACCAUACCAGAAAGGGACGGCUAAAUACGCGCCAG